This 87-nucleotide transfer RNA is filed under the name Sulfurihydrogenibium sp. RNAcentral's name for it is "tRNA-Leu". It matches the Rfam family "tRNA". Rfam says of the family: Transfer RNA (tRNA) molecules are approximately 80 nucleotides in length. Lineage: Bacteria; Pseudomonadati; Aquificota; Aquificia; Aquificales; Hydrogenothermaceae. The record is from RNAcentral.
GCGGGUGUGGCGGAAUUGGCAGACGCGCGGGACUUAGGAUCCCGUGGCCGCAAGGCCGUGUGGGUUCAACUCCCACCACCCGCACUA